This 255-nucleotide ribosomal RNA is filed under the name uncultured bacterium. RNAcentral describes it as "partial 16S ribosomal RNA". It matches the Rfam family "Bacterial small subunit ribosomal RNA", at positions 524 to 776 of the family's 1533-position model. The record is from RNAcentral.
UACGUAGGUGGCAAGCGUUGUCCGGAUUUACUGGGCGUAAAGGAUGCGUAGGCGGACAUUUAAGUCAGAUGUAAAAAUACCCCGAGCUUAACUUGGGUGCUGCAUUUGAAACUGGGUGUCUAGAGUGCAGGAGAGGUAAGUGGAAUUCCUAGUGUAGCGGUGAAAUGCGUAGAGAUUAGGAAGAACACCAGUGGCGAAGGCGACUUACUGGACUGUAACUGACGCUGAGGCAUGAAAGCGUGGGGAGCAAACAGG